AUACGGAGGGGGUUAGCGUUGUUCGGAAUUACUGGGCGUAAAGCGCACGUAGGCGGAUUGGAAAGUUGGGGGUGAAAUCUCAGGGCUCAACCCUGGAACUGCCUCCAAAACUAACAGUCUAGAGUUCGAGAGAGGUGAGUGGAAUUCCAAGUGUAGAGGUGAAAUUCGUAGAUAUUUGGAGGAACACCAGUGGCGAAGGCGGCUCACUGGCUCGGUACUGACGCUGAGGUGCGAAAGCGUGGGGAGCAAACAGGAUUAGAAACCCCAGUAGUCC
Molecule: ribosomal RNA, 274 nt
Filed under: uncultured bacterium
Lineage: Bacteria
Description: partial 16S ribosomal RNA
Rfam family: Bacterial small subunit ribosomal RNA
Source: RNAcentral